This is a non-coding RNA of Sus scrofa (pig), 4487 nucleotides long. Lineage: Eukaryota; Metazoa; Chordata; Mammalia; Artiodactyla; Suidae. The record is from RefSeq and is a predicted model, not a curated record.
ACCACAGAUCACUGCAAUGCCGGAUCCUUAACCCACUGAGUGAGGCCAGGGAUCGAACCUGCACCCUCAUGGAUACUAGUCGGGCUGGUUAACCACUGAGCCACAACAGGAACUCCCAUUCCAUAACUUGGGCUUUGUAGGGAGACUUCUUUAGAGACCGGAAGGAAAUUCAAGCAGCACAAGCAGUCCAGUGACCUUUCCUUGAGAGAAUCAGCCUCCACCCAAUCCCAGCGCCUCUGCCCCUGGAACAGAGAGACAAGCACCUCUCUGCUCCGGUGGUUCGUGACCUUCUCCAGAGGACGUGGGCCCUGGCGCUUCCUGUCCACUGGAAGAAGAGCUCAGCAUCUGCUGAGUCCAAAAUCAUGGCCUUUCAAAGACACUCCCUGAAACAGCAGUUGAACAAGAAAAGGACUCGCACAGCCACCAUCUGUCUGUUGACCUGAGGGUAGGUUUUAGCUGGUGAUACAAGUGAUGUUUGGGUACUAGUUGCUGUUCUAAGUACUUCAAGCUCUCACCAAAAAAACCUAUGAGGUGGGUCUAUUAUUAUCCCCAUUUUACAGAUGGAGAAACUGAGGCACGAGUGAGGUCAAGCCACUUAUCAGAGACAACACUCUCUCAUUCAUUCCUGUGAGCAUCUGGCAGGCUGUGACAGUUGUAAUCCCAACCAGAUGUCCCACAGGAACUUUCCAGGUGUUCCUUUGUUACAAGGAAUAACUCGCCUUCUCAACUCCAUGGCGUGACAAAGGAUGCAAUCUGCAGCCUCCUUCAAGCCUGCACCUCCAAGGUGUCCUUGUCCUUCUUAUGCACAGCCUUAGGGGAGGAGCCCGGGGGUUCACACCUUGGCCAGUGAGGACCCUGGGAAUUCAGAAACACAGCUCAGCGCUCAGUAGCCCCCACAGGACCAAGUUGGCCCCGUUUCUCCUUGAUGCUGGGGGAGCAGGAGGGGGUGUGCGGGGUGAUGGAAGGACCAUCCAUUGAGUAGAGUAGUUUCUCAAACCUACCACGUGUGCCUUGGUCUCUGCAGCAGGGGAUUCAAGUCAGGGCAGCCUUGCGUGGGGACUUGAGGAGGCGCACACGCCAUUGCACAUGUAGGGGCAUGACAUGGCCUGCUUUAUGCCACCCUGGGAGGCCUCUAGUGUUGUUCCUGGGGCCACCUGACCUGCACUCAAGUGCUCUAGCGCUGAGCUGUAUCCCCAGGCCUGGCAACAACCUUUAAACAACACCUUUCAUCUGUGUGGCGACACUCAACUCUGCGCAAUUAAGUUACACUGUCUCCACCAGGCCCUUCUCUUUGGAAGCUAUCAGACUUGGCUCCUCCUAAGGCAUUUUCCCUCAGGCCUGCAGCUUCCAGGCCUCAGUCCCUGCGCGAGGUCAUCCACAAGGAGAAAAGGACAGAAGCUGCCUGAUGAACCCCCAGCCCAUUUCCCCGUCCAUUGGUUUAGCCCAAGAGCUGGCCAAAGGUCUCCAAAACUACCCACAUUCCCCUACCUGGGCUCCCAGCCCUUUGUGUCUAUAGGUCUGACCCCCCCAUCCCCACUCCCACGCCUCACCCCCCACUCCACUGAGCCUGUUUUGGACGGAAGGUGGGGUGAGGGUGACAGUUAGGGUUACCAUCUAUUGUCUGCUCCCGGGAAGUCAGUUGCAUCCACAGCUCUCUGGUCUGCCCUGAAAAAGCCCGGCAGUCUGUCUCAGUCUUGCCUUCUCUUUGGGGAUCCAACAGAGUUGGAGAAACGAGAAACAGAAGGAAAAGAUCCAGAUGCCAGUAAGAGGAAGGCUACCCAGAGUGUUGACACAGGAAGAGGCCCUGCACCUGGACUGCUGCUGUUCGAGGGCUGACCUGUAGCUCCCAGUAGUCUCAGGGAGGUUCCUGAUAACUGGAGGAUAGAGGAAGGUAAAAAGGAGCAAGAGCUUCUGUGAAUGGAAGACCCAAGAGAGCAGGGGGCACCCGGGUUUGAACCAGGGACCUCUUGAUCUGCAGUCAAGUGCUCUACCCCUGAGCUAUACCCCCACCUCCCUGGUGCAGGUGCCUAAUAACGACCUUUCACCUUUGUAGUCACACCCAAGUCCUACAGAUGGAAGGUUUCUAUUUAUGUCCAGAGAGCUGGAAAGACCAGCUCUUUAUUCCUUUGAAAAUUCAGCCCAGAGAGGUCUUCCCCCAGGUCCCAGAGUCCCACAUUCCUACCCUUCACCUGUCCUCAGUCUGUGGUGACAGCAGCAUCCUGGAGGAGCACUGACAUUUACCACUGGAAGGGACUUAGAGUUUGUUUUUCUCUUGUUCUUCAUUACGAAACAGCACCUUGAAGAGAUCCUGCCCAAGCUCUUUGGAGACAUGUGCAGGACCUACACCUGAAGUGUCUAGCCCAACCCUAAGCAUGAAAGUUGGUUUGCAAUAACUAUUUGUUGGAUGGAAGGAAAGAGAGAAAAACUAGCAAAGACAUUUUUGUCUGGGGUAAAUGCAAAUUACCUCAGGUACCACCAGCCACGUGAACACUGCUGCUGUUUAUCCAAACUUGUGCGAGUACGUUCUCCCGCGUUUGGGUUGGAGCCCUUCCUCCCGGAGGUGAGCCAGUUCACAGCUCAAGACGCUCUCUCACGGUCAUUCUCCCUCACGGGUCUUCUGGCUCCUUCGAAAUGUUCCCUCUCUUGCUGAAAAGUAAAAAAAGCCAGGAAGGAAUCGGAGAAAUGCUCGAUUAAAGUUUCUCUUGUUUGGAGUUCCCGUCGUGGCUCAGCGGUCACGAACCCGACUAGCAUCCACGAGGACAUGGUUCUGAGCCCUAGCCCUGCUCAGCCGGUGAAGUACCCGUGAGCUGCGGUGUAGGUCGCAGAGGCGGUUCUGAUUCCCUGCGGCUAUGGCUGUGGUGGAGGCCGGCAGCUGCAGCUCCGAUUUGACCCCUAGCCUGGGAAUCUCCACGGGUGCGCCCUAAAAAAAGACAAAAAUAAUAAUAAUAAAACAUUUUAAAGCUUCCCUGAAAGACGUUGCAGGGGACCUAAGCAAAGGGCACGCUUUUAGGUGGUCCCCCAAACUAACAACUUCACAGCAAUGUCGAUGCUCCUGGAUUGGCCUAGAGAUUUAACGCAAUUCCAGUCAAAAUCCCAGUUAGGAUUUUUAUCGUCUUUGACAUGCUAACGCAAAAAGUUAUGUGGGAGGAGUCCCCUGGUGGCUUAGUGGUUGAGGACCCAGUGUUGUCACUGCUGGGGCACAGGUUCAAUCCCUGACACAGGAAAUUCCGCAUGCUGCAAGUACCGGCCAAAAAGAAAAGUUAUGUAGGAAAAGGAAGAGCUGGGAAUAGCUAGUGUUUUCCUGAAGAACAAGAGCUGGGCAAAGAAACUAGUGCUAUCAGAUGUGAAGACAUAAAAUCGGUAAGAUGGUGUUGUAUUGGCACGAGGAUAGACACACAAGACCGAUAGAGCAGAAUCGGACCAGAAAUGGACCUCUCCAUAGAGAGAAACUGAUAAACGAGAGAGCUGGCAUUGUAGCACAAUGGAGAAAGAGCAGGUUUUUUGAUAAAUGGUGCUAAGACAAUUGGAUGGCCAUACACAAAGUAAAUUCUGGAAGGAUUUAAGACUUAAGUAUAAGAGACCAAUCUGCAAACUUUUAAAAGAAAAAGUAACAGAAAACCCUUAUGACCUUGGAAUAAGAGAAGGAUUGAUUAAUUAAGACGUACGUAAAUACGAUGAAGAAAAGGAUUGGUCGAUUCUAGUUUGUUGACAGUAGGAAUUUCUGUGUACUGAGAGUCUCCAGAAAGAAAGCGAAAGGGAGAGUCAUAGAUCAGAAGACGCAUGUCAAUCGUUAUGUCAGCCCAGGAAUAGUCGGAAAACAGAAAGCACUCUAGGCUGUUCAGCAGAGAGAAUGUGAUACAGGCGAUUGGUUAACUAGGUUUAGGAGAAGUAACACAGCAGAAAGAGAGCCUCGAGACAGUGCAGAGAUAAUAACCAGGAAGCAGCUGCCCUAGUGCUAAGAGAAUAACUGAAGAGGUUGCAGGAGGCUUGGAGGGGGGCCCUCUAACGUGUUGGGACUCCAGCUUGUGGGGCAAGAGCACCGCCCAGCUGGUGCUGGUACCCUGGGAACACAGAAGGCUGGUCUCCCAGAGAAGUACUGAAAAUAAGGCUGGUUCUAGGCCUGCCAAACAAAAGUGUGGGCAUUUAAACCAGUGCCAUCCAGGUGGAGGAUCAUGGCUGGGGUCCCCUGACAAGAGCGGGCAGAACAAAGCACGUUCUGGUCUGCUUUUGUCAUCAUAGACCACUUCGCAUUUUCUUGUUGGUUAUAAAAAUGGAAUGAGACAUCACGCACUCUUUUUCUCUGCCUCCUUUCACUCAGCCUGUUUUCAGAUUUGUCCAUAUUGCUGCAUAUGUAUCAUUUCUUUUUAUUGCUCGGUAGUGCUCUCUCUGUUCAGUUUUGUGUACCCACCCGCUAUUCACCUGUUUAUGGUCAUUUAUUUGAUUUCCAGUGUUUGGCUAUUGCUAAUAAAGCUGCUAUGACACUCACA